RNAcentral lists this ribosomal RNA (1370 nucleotides) under uncultured beta proteobacterium. RNAcentral's name for it is "bacterial SSU rRNA". It matches the Rfam family "Bacterial small subunit ribosomal RNA", at positions 27 to 1394 of the family's 1533-position model. Lineage: Bacteria; Pseudomonadati; Pseudomonadota; Betaproteobacteria. The record is from RNAcentral.
GAUUGAACGCUGGCGGCAUGCCUUACACAUGCAAGUCGAACGGCAGCACGGGUGCUUGCACCUGGUGGCGAGUGGCGAACGGGUGAGUAAUACAUCGGAACAUGUCCUGUAGUGGGGGAUAGCCCGGCGAAAGCCGGAUUAAUACCGCAUACGAUCUACGGAUGAAAGCGGGGGACCUUCGGGCCUCGCGCUAUAGGGUUGGCCGAUGGCUGAUUAGCUAGUUGGUGGGGUAAAGGCCUACCAAGGCGACGAUCAGUAGCUGGUCUGAGAGGACGACCAGCCACACUGGGACUGAGACACGGCCCAGACUCCUACGGGAGGCAGCAGUGGGGAAUUUUGGACAAUGGGCGAAAGCCUGAUCCAGCAAUGCCGCGUGUGUGAAGAAGGCCUUCGGGUUGUAAAGCACUUUUGUCCGGAAAGAAAUCCUUGGCUCUAAUACAGUCGGGGGAUGACGGUACCGGAAGAAUAAGCACCGGCUAACUACGUGCCAGCAGCCGCGGUAAUACGUAGGGUGCGAGCGUUAAUCGGAAUUACUGGGCGUAAAGCGUGCGCAGGCGGUUUGCUAAGACCGAUGUGAAAUCCCCGGGCUCAACCUGGGAACUGCAUUGGUGACUGGCAGGCUAGAGUAUGGCAGAGGGGGGUAGAAUUCCACGUGUAGCAGUGAAAUGCGUAGAGAUGUGGAGGAAUACCGAUGGCGAAGGCAGCCCCCUGGGCCAAUACUGACGCUCAUGCACGAAAGCGUGGGGGAGCAAACAGGAUUAGAUACCCUGGGUAGUCCACGCCCUAAACGAUGUCAACUAGUUGUUGGGGAUUCAUUUCCUUAGUAACGUAGCUAACGCGUGAAGCUGACCGCCUGGGGAGUACGGUCGCAAGAUUAAAACUCAAAGGAAUUGACGGGGACCCGCACAAGCGGUGGAUGAUGUGGAUUAAUUCGAUGCAACGCGAAAAACCUUACCUACCCUUGACAUGGUCGGAAUCCCGCUGAGAGGUGGGAGUGCUCGAAAGAGAACCGGCGCACAGGUGCUGCAUGGCUGUCGUCAGCUCGUGUCGUGAGAUGUUGGGUUAAGUCCCGCAACGAGCGCAACCCUUGUCCUUAGUUGCUACGCAAGAGCACUCUAAGGAGACUGCCGGUGACAAACCGGAGGAAGGUGGGGAUGACGUCAAGUCCUCAUGGCCCUUAUGGGUAGGGCUUCACACGUCAUACAAUGGUCGGAACAGAGGGUUGCCAACCCGCGAGGGGGAGCUAAUCCCAGAAAACCGAUCGUAGUCCGGAUUGCACUCUGCAACUCGAGUGCAUGAAGCUGGAAUCGCUAGUAAUCGCGGAUCAGCAUGCCGCGGUGAAUACGUUCCCGGGUCUUGUACACACCGCC